Long non-coding RNA from Sander lucioperca (pikeperch), 282 nucleotides. RefSeq lists it as uncharacterized. The record is from RefSeq and is a predicted model, not a curated record. The transcript has 3 exons. NCBI's taxonomy places the organism in Eukaryota, Metazoa, Chordata, Actinopteri, Perciformes, Percidae.
CGGAAGAAUUCCAUGAAAUGAACACGGAGCGCCGAAAAUUCUGUGAUGGGCCCUCGGAAGAAUUCCGUUAAAUAAACAUGGCCCCUUAAGUUAAGGAAAAGGUCAUGGGUGGGCUUACGCUUCCUUGACACGCGAGAAGAACGGGGCGGUUGGGUUCAGGAAAAGAAGAAAGCGACUUUAGGAAACGUGACAUGUGGGACAUGAACCCCGGUCUCCUGGGUGAAAGUCCUGUGUUUGACCCAUCCACCACCCCAACCAACCUCCUUAUGUGGAAUUUCGGCC